Molecule: ribosomal RNA, 253 nt
Filed under: uncultured bacterium
Lineage: Bacteria
Description: partial 16S ribosomal RNA
Rfam family: Bacterial small subunit ribosomal RNA
Source: RNAcentral
UACGUAGGGUGCAAGCGUUGUCCGGAAUUAUUGGGCGUAAAGAGCUCGUAGGCGGUUUGUCGCGUCUGCUGUGAAAACCUAAGGCUCAACCUUGGGCUUGCAGUGGGUACGGGCAGACUAGAGUGCGGUAGGGGUGACUGGAAUUCCUGGUGUAGCGGUGGAAUGCGUAGAUAUCGGGAGGAACACCAGUGGCGAAGGCGGCUUCCUGGACCGGUUCUGACACUGAGGAGCGAAAGCGUGGGGAGCGAUCCGG